CUUUGGAGACUUUCUCGGACCGUCCGAGGAAGGAUUCCGGACCGUCCGUAGGAUCCUCACCAUGACUGGACGGUAUUCCUUUGACUCUUUUGGUUUUCUUGGUUGUUCAAUGACGGUUAGGGUUUCAUGUGGAUUUGUUGAUUUGUCCAUGGAUAAGGGUUUGCAUGUUGGAGAUCCACCUCUAUCUUCUUCUGUGAACUCUCUCAAUCAUCAGUACCAUUGGAAAUCAAGAGAUUUGGGGGAAGGAUUUUCAUGUUGUUCUAGAUCUCGGGGUCAGCCCGAUGAGCGGCGGACCGUCCGCUGUUACCCGGCGGACCGUCCGCGGUUCCUCGACGGCUGCCUGAGAGCCCUAGAAUCAUAUAGAUAAUAGCAAGUGUCAUUCUUUUUGUAUCAUUGCAUAAACUAAUAACAAUUCUCUAUAUCAUUGACAGUGGCCGUGUUGGUCGUAUCACAAAGGCCUUGACUCGGAAGCUGAGAAAGGGAAGUUCAUCUAAGCGGCCUCAGUUUGAGGAUGAUGGGGAUUCAGGAGAAGAGGAUUCUAGAGAUGUUGAUUAUGCUCCCAGUGAUGCUGAAGUGGAAUCCUCAGCGGUGUUCUCAAUGCAUGUUGAUGAAGACGUUGAUGAAGAUGAAGAUAUCGAUGAAGUGAUUGAUGUGACCCUACACACAACACCCAAGCGAAAAUGGAACAUGGAGACCUACUCCAGAGAGAGGACACCUUAUCAAUUCAGUCUUCCCCGUACGACAUCCAACCUGUUCUUUCACACUCAAGUACAAGAAGAUGCCUUCUUUGGUCACCUGGUCAAUAAAACAG
This 811-nucleotide long non-coding RNA is filed under the name Setaria viridis. Its description in RNAcentral is "long non-coding RNA (SVIR_LNC001878)". The record is from RNAcentral. Lineage: Eukaryota; Viridiplantae; Streptophyta; Magnoliopsida; Poales; Poaceae.